CUUUACACUGCACGCCAGUGCGAUAAGGGGACUCCAAGUGCGAGGGCAUAUCGUCCUCGCUAUCCUGUACUGUAGGGUAGUACAGUAUCAAGAGCUGGGCAAGACCGGUGCCAGCCGCCGCGGUAAUACCGGCAGCUCGAGUGAUGGCCAAUCUUAUUGGGCCUAAAGCGUCCGUAGCUGGCCGCGCAAGUCCGUCGGGAAAUCCAUCAGCCCAACUGAUGGGCGUCCGGCGGAAACUGCACGGCUUGGGACCGGAAGGCUCGAGAGGUACGUCCGGGGUAGGAGUGAAAUCCCGUAAUCCCGAACGGACCACCGAUGGCGAAAGCAUCUCGAGAAAACGGAUCCGACAGUGAGGGACGAAAGCUAGAGUC
RNAcentral lists this ribosomal RNA (371 nucleotides) under uncultured haloarchaeon. Its description in RNAcentral is "bacterial SSU rRNA". It matches the Rfam family "Archaeal small subunit ribosomal RNA", at positions 348 to 718 of the family's 1478-position model. The record is from RNAcentral. Lineage: Archaea; Methanobacteriati; Methanobacteriota; Halobacteria; Halobacteriales; Halobacteriaceae.